GUGGGGAAUAUUGCACAAUGGGCGCAAGCCUGAUGCAGCAACGCCGCGUGAGGGAUGACGGCCUUCGGGUUGUAAACCUCUUUUAGUAGGGAAGAAGCGAAAGUGACGGUACCUGCAGAAAAAGCACCGGCUAACUACGUGCCAGCAGCCGCGGUAAUACGUAGGGUGCAAGCGUUGUCCGGAAUUAUUGGGCGUAAAGAGCUCGUAGGCGGCUUGUCGCGUCUGCUGUGAAAUCCCGGAGCUCAACUCCGGGCCUGCAGUGGGUACGGGCAGGCUAGAGUGCGGUAGGGGAGAUUGGAAUUCCUGGUGUAGCGGUGGAAUGCGCAGAUAUCAGGAGGAACACCGAUGGCGAAGGCAGAUCUCUGGGCCGCUACUGACGCUGAGGAACGAAAGCAUGGGGAGCGAACAGGAUUAGAUACCCCAGUAGUCC
Molecule: ribosomal RNA, 430 nt
Filed under: uncultured bacterium
Lineage: Bacteria
Description: partial 16S ribosomal RNA
Rfam family: Bacterial small subunit ribosomal RNA
Source: RNAcentral